This 207-nucleotide ribosomal RNA is filed under the name uncultured bacterium. Its description in RNAcentral is "partial 16S ribosomal RNA". It matches the Rfam family "Bacterial small subunit ribosomal RNA", at positions 568 to 774 of the family's 1533-position model. The record is from RNAcentral.
CUCGUAGGCGGUCUGUCGCGUCGAAUGUGAAAACCCGGGGCUCAACUCCGGGCUUGCAUUCGAUACGGGCAGGCUAGAGUUCGGUAGGGGAGUCUGGAAUUCCUGGUGUAGCGGUGAAAUGCGCAGAUAUCAGGAGGAACACCGGUGGCGAAGGCGGGACUCUGGGCCGAUACUGACGCUGAGGAGCGAAAGCGUGGGGAGCGAACA